GUGCUUGAUUUGGUAUCACAUAUACUAAGAUUUGAAUGAUACAGAGAACAUUAGAAUAGCCCCUAUGAGUAGAUAACACAAAUUUGUGAAGCAUUUCAUAUUUUA
Molecule: small nuclear RNA, 105 nt
Organism: Suncus etruscus (white-toothed pygmy shrew)
Lineage: Eukaryota; Metazoa; Chordata; Mammalia; Eulipotyphla; Soricidae
Source: RefSeq, a predicted model, not a curated record